Molecule: ribosomal RNA, 497 nt
Filed under: uncultured bacterium
Lineage: Bacteria
Description: partial 16S ribosomal RNA
Rfam family: Bacterial small subunit ribosomal RNA
Source: RNAcentral
GACGAACGCUGGCGGCGUGCCUAAUACAUGCAAGUUGAGCGCUGAAGGUUGGUACUUGUACCAACUGGAUGAGCAGCGAACGGGUGAGUAACGCGUGGGGAAUCUGCCUUUGAGCGGGGGACAACAUUUGGAAACGAAUGCUAAUACCGCAUAAAAACUUUAAACACAAGUUUUAAGUUUUAAAGAUGCAAUUGCAUCACUCAAAGAUGAUCCCGCGUUGUUUUAGCUAAUUGGUUAGGUAAAGGCUCACCAAGGCGAUGAUACAUAGCCGACCUGAGAGGGUGGUCGGCAAAAAUGGGAAUGAGAAAAGGCCCAAAAUCCUAAGGGAGGGAACAGGAGGGAAACAUCGGAAAUGGAGGAAAGUCUGAACGAGCAAAGGCGAGUGAGUGAAGAAGGGUUUCGGAACGUAAAACUCUGUUGGUAGAGAAGAACGUGGGGGAGAGUGGAAAGCUCAUGAAGUGACGGUAACAACACAGAAAGGGACGGCUAACUACGUG